CGUGUAGGCGGCUAGACAGGUCUGCUGUGAAAACUCGAGGCUCAACCUCGAGAUGUCGGCGGAAACCGUCUGGCUAGAGUCCGGAAGAGGAGAGUGGAAUUCCUGGUGUAGCGGUGAAAUGCGCAGAUAUCAGGAAGAACACCUAUGGCGAAGGCAGCUCUCUGGGACGGUACUGACGCUGAGACGCGAAAGCGUGGGGAGCGAACA
RNAcentral lists this ribosomal RNA (207 nucleotides) under uncultured bacterium. RNAcentral's name for it is "partial 16S ribosomal RNA". It matches the Rfam family "Bacterial small subunit ribosomal RNA", at positions 568 to 774 of the family's 1533-position model. The record is from RNAcentral.